This 298-nucleotide ribosomal RNA is filed under the name uncultured bacterium. RNAcentral describes it as "partial 16S ribosomal RNA". It matches the Rfam family "Bacterial small subunit ribosomal RNA", at positions 28 to 334 of the family's 1533-position model. The record is from RNAcentral.
GAUGAACGCUGGCGGCGUGCCUAAUACAUGCAAGUCGGACGCAAUGCUUCGGCAUUGAGUGGCGAACGGGUGAGUAAUACAUAAGCAACCUGCCCCUGUGAGGGGAAUAACGUUCUGAAAAGAACGCUAAUACCGCAUAACAUACGGAUGUCGCAUGGCAACCGUAUCAAAGAUUUUAUCGCUUGAAGAUGGACUCGCGUCCGAUUAGCCAGUUGGCGGGGUAACGGCCCACCAAAGCGACGAUCGGUAGCCGGACUGAGAGGUUGAACGGCCACAUUGGGACUGAGACACGGUCCAU